GGAAUUCGAUUAGAGUUUGAUCAUGGCUCAGGACGAACGCUGGCGGCGUGCCUAAUACAUGCAAGUCGAGCGGACAGAUGGGAGCUUGCUCCCUGAUGUUAGCGGCGGACGGGUGAGUAACACGUGGGUAACCUGCCUGUAAGACUGGGAUAACUCCGGGAAACCGGGGCUAAUACCGGAUGGUUGCCUGAACCGCAUGGUUCAGACAUAAAAGGUGGCUUCGGCUACCACUUACAGAUGGACCCGCGGCGCAUUAGCUAGUUGGUGAGGUAAUGGCUCACCAAGGCGACGAUGCGUAGCCGACCUGAGAGGGUGAUCGGCCACACUGGGACUGAGACACGGCCCAGACUCCUACGGGAGGCAGCAGUAGGGAAUCUUCCGCAAUGGACGAAAGUCUGACGGAGCAACGCCGCGUGAGUAAUGAAGGUUUUCGGAUCGUAAAGCUCUGUUGUUAGGGAAGAACAAGUGCCGUUCAAAUAGGGCGGCACCUUGACGGUACCUAACCAGAAAGCCACGGCUAACUACGUGCCAGCAGCCGCGGUAAUACGUANGUGGCAAGCGUUGUCCGGAAUUAUUGGGCGUAAAGGGCUCGCANGCGGUUUCUUAAGUCUGAUGUGAAAGCCCCCGGCUCAAC
RNAcentral lists this ribosomal RNA (634 nucleotides) under Bacillus subtilis. RNAcentral's name for it is "bacterial SSU rRNA". It matches the Rfam family "Bacterial small subunit ribosomal RNA", at positions 1 to 613 of the family's 1533-position model. The record is from RNAcentral. Lineage: Bacteria; Bacillati; Bacillota; Bacilli; Caryophanales; Bacillaceae.